GCUAGCUACAGGCUUAACACAUGCAAGUCGAGGGGCAGCAUUUUAGUUUGCUUGCAAACUGAAGAUGGCGACCGGCGCACGGGUGAGUAACACGUAUCCAACCUGCCGAUAACUCCGGAAUAGCCUUUCGAAAGAAAGAUUAAUACCGGAUAGUAUACGAAUAUCGCAUGGUAUUUUUAUUAAAGAAUUUCGGUUAUCGAUGGGGAUGCGUUCCAUUAGUUUGUUGGCGGGGUAACGGCCCACCAAGACUACGAUGGAUAGGGGUUCUGAGAGGAAGGUCCCCCACAUUGGAACUGAGACACGGUCCAAACUCCUACGGGAGGCAGCAGUGAGGAAUAUUGGUCAAUGGGCGAGAGCCUGAACCAGCCAAGUAGCGUGAAGGAUGAAGGCUCUAUGGGUCGUAAACUUCUUUUAUAUGGGAAUAAAGUUUUCCACGUGUGGAAUUUUGUAUGUACCAUAUGAAUAAGGAUCGGCUAACUCCGUGCCAGCAGCCGCGGUAAUACGGAGGAUCCGAGCGUUAUCCGGAUUUAUUGGGUUUAAAGGGAGCGUAGGUGGAUUGUUAAGUCAGUUGUGAAAGUUUGCGGCUCAACCGUAAAAUUGCAGUUGAAACUGGCAGUCUUGAGUACAGUAGAGGUGGGCGGAAUUCGUGGUGUAGCGGUGAAAUGCUUAGAUAUCACGAAGAACUCCGAUUGCGAAGGCAGCUCACUAGACUGUCACUGACACUGAUGCUCGAAAGUGUGGGUAUCAAACAGGAUUAGAUACCCUGGUAGUCCACACAGUAAACGAUGAAUACUCGCUGUUUGCGAUAUACAGUAAGCGGCCAAGCGAAAGCAUUAAGUAUUCCACCUGGGGAGUACGCCGGCAACGGUGAAACUCAAAGGAAUUGACGGGGGCCCGCACAAGCGGAGGAACAUGUGGUUUAAUUCGAUGAUACGCGAGGAACCUUACCCGGGCUUAAAUUGCAACAGAAUAUAUUGGAAACAGUAUAGCCGUAAGGCUGUUGUGAAGGUGCUGCAUGGUUGUCGUCAGCUCGUGCCGUGAGGUGUCGGCUUAAGUGCCAUAACGAGCGCAACCCUUAUCUUUAGUUACUAACAGGUGAUGCUGAGGACUCUAGAGAGACUGCCGUCGUAAGAUGUGAGGAAGGUGGGGAUGACGUCAAAUCAGCACGGCCCUUACGUCCGGGGCUACACACGUGUUACAAUGGGGGGUACAGAAGGCGGCUACCUGGUGGCAGGAUGCUAAUCCCAAAAACCUCUCUCAGUUCGGAUCGAAGUCUGCAACCCGACUUCGUGAAGCUGGAUUCGCUAGUAAUCGCGCAUCAGCCAUGGCGCGGUGAAUACGUUCCCGGGCCUUGUACACACCGCCCGUCAAGCCAUGAAAGCCGGGGGUACCUGAAGUACGUAACCGCAAGGAGCGUCCUAGGGUAAAACUGGUAAUUGGGGCUAA
This 1446-nucleotide ribosomal RNA is filed under the name uncultured organism. RNAcentral's name for it is "SSU rRNA". It matches the Rfam family "Bacterial small subunit ribosomal RNA". The record is from RNAcentral.